CAGCAGUAGCCGCGGUAAUACGGAGGGUGCAAGCGUUAAUCGGAAUUACUGGGCGUAAAGCGCACGCAGGCGGUCUGACAAGUCAGAUGUGAAAUCCCCGGGCUUAACCUGGGAACUGCAUUUGAAACUGUCAGGCUGGAGUCUUGUAGAGGGGGGUAGAAUUCCAGGUGUAGCGGUGAAAUGCGUAGAGAUCUGGAGGAAUACCGGUGGCGAAGGCGGCCCCCUGGACAAAGACUGACGCUCAGGUGCGAAAGCGUGGGGAGCAAACAGGAUUAGAUACCCGCGUAGUCCCUGUCUCUUAUAU
This 304-nucleotide ribosomal RNA is filed under the name uncultured bacterium. RNAcentral's name for it is "partial 16S ribosomal RNA". It matches the Rfam family "Bacterial small subunit ribosomal RNA", at positions 506 to 809 of the family's 1533-position model. The record is from RNAcentral.